CUUUCUUUGCUGGCGACCGGCGCACGGGUGAGUAACACGUAUCCAACCUGCCCUUUACUCGGGGAUAGCCUUUCGAAAGAAAGAUUAAUACCCGAUGGCAUAACGAUUCCGCAUGGUUUCAUUAUUAAAGGAUUCCGGUAAAGGAUGGGGAUGCGUUCCAUUAGGUUGUUGGUGAGGUAACGGCCCACCAAGCCUUCGAUGGAUAGGGGUUCUGAGAGGAAGGUCCCCCACAUUGGAACUGAGACACGGUCCAA
RNAcentral lists this ribosomal RNA (254 nucleotides) under uncultured bacterium. RNAcentral's name for it is "partial 16S ribosomal RNA". It matches the Rfam family "Bacterial small subunit ribosomal RNA", at positions 79 to 334 of the family's 1533-position model. The record is from RNAcentral.